Molecule: ribosomal RNA, 447 nt
Filed under: uncultured bacterium
Lineage: Bacteria
Description: bacterial SSU rRNA
Rfam family: Bacterial small subunit ribosomal RNA
Source: RNAcentral
UCGGGAAUUUUGGGCAAUGGGGGAAACCCUGACCCAGCAACGCCGCGUGAAGGAUGAAGUAUUUCGGUAUGUAAACUUCGUAAGAAUAGGAAGAAUCAAUGACGGUACUAUUUGUAAGCUCCGGCUAACUACGUGCCAGCAGCCGCGGUAAUACGUAGGGGGCAAGCGUUGUUCGGAUUUACUGGGCGUAAAGGGCGCGUAGGCGGCGUGACAAGUCACUUGUGAAAUCUCCGGGCUUAACUCGGAACGGUCAAGUGAUACUGUUGUGCUAGAGUGCAGAAAGGGUAACUGGAAUUCUUGGUGUAGCGGUGAAAUGCGUAGAUAUCAAGAGGAACACCAGAGGCGAAGGCGAGUUACUGGGCUGACACUGACGCUGAGGCGCGAAAGCUAGGGGAGCGAACGGGAUUAGAUACCCUUGUAGUCCCUGAGCGGGCUGGCAAGGCGCAU